UCCAGGGUAGCCUAGUGGACAUGGCAUCUGCCCGGUAAGCGGAAGGUCAUGGGUUCGAUUCCCGCCCCUGGAC
Molecule: non-coding RNA, 73 nt
Organism: Cordylochernes scorpioides
Lineage: Eukaryota; Metazoa; Arthropoda; Arachnida; Pseudoscorpiones; Chernetidae
Source: the annotation of a GenBank genome assembly